AUGGACGGCGGCACCGCCACCGUCUGCUCCAUGUGCGGGGACAUCGGCUUCCCCGACAAGCUCUUCCGGUGCGCGCGCUGCCGCUACCGCUUCCAGCACUCCUAUUGCACGAACUACUACGGCGACGGGGCACCGGCCUCGGCGGGGGCCGACAUGUGCGACUGGUGCCUCAGCGACGUCUCUGGGAAGGCCAGGAGGAGCGCGUCUACAUCUGGGAAGCAGCAGGCCUCCGUCAACCAGGAUUCGACCACGACGGGCUACUCCGGCAGGAUCGACAAGGCGGCAACCGGCGGCGACCAGGAGAGCGGGCGGCGAGGGUCGACCAAGGUGGGAGGCCGCAGGUACAAGCUGCUCAAGGACGUCCUUUGUUAG
This 372-nucleotide ribosomal RNA is filed under the name Triticum aestivum (bread wheat). RNAcentral describes it as "partial small subunit ribosomal RNA". Lineage: Eukaryota; Viridiplantae; Streptophyta; Magnoliopsida; Poales; Poaceae. The record is from RNAcentral.